GCAACCCUGGCCACCACUUGGCGCCCACCACGGUGACCUCUCACUCCGCUGGCAUGACUCGACGGUUUGUUGGACGGACCCGAGCUGAAGGGAGAAACAGAAGUCAGUUGUCAAGAAAUGUGACUUUCCAACCCGUCUAGACGCAGCAUGUGCUGUUGUCCUCGAGAGAGGACCAUCCCACUGCUGUCCUGUGUCAUGACUGCAGCAGAAUCCACAGGAGGGUGGAGAGCAAACUGGAACCGCUUCAGUGGCCAUUGAGGAGGACGAUGACUGGGCUGCUUUGAGGAGGUGGACUCAGGACCGGGGCAGAGUCCGUCUGGGUCCUGUGCUGGUCCCAGUCCAGAGGACUCCAGUGUCUCUAUUAGAAUCCCCGGAGCUGGGAGAUUCCCCGACACGGAUACCUUUUUGACUUUUUUUAAAGCUUAAUUUUACUACAUUGGAAUGUAGGUUUGUUAUUGAUGAUCCCUUUUGUACAUUUUAAUGAUAAGAGGAGACUAAAGCUGGAGUUACAGUUUGAUCUCAGCCUGUUUGAGGGUCAAGUAUCCUGAAUGGAGGGUUUGAAUUAAAUAUGUCAGACGACGUUUGAUUUAUAUCUUGACCCGUCAAAAAUAGAAAAUAAUGUUUCCGCCCGGUCUCGAACCGGGGACCUUUCGCGAUAGUAGUCCUUAACUUUCCUUAACUUUUCCCAUUCAUUCUCUAUGGUAGUUCUUAUCACUACCGAUGCGAUAUAACUUUGGCCACACGUGGGAUUUUGGGGGCGCUGUUUCCCCCCUGGACACGAGGCAAAGAGACCCGUAUGUUCCCCUUUGAGUGAGAGACGACCUGCAGCAGCACACGCACCUGAGGCUCGCGCAGCAUCUUUUCACAGUUCUUUUUCGGACCAACAGUUACACGCAAGUACGCCGCAUUUUGUUAAUGAAGUUACUUAAUGAACGGUUCUCAGUUGUAUAUGUUGGUCAACUGCUUCUGUAGUUUACUUUACUUGUGUUGGUUAGCAUUGUAACACUGUGUGUUGUUAGCACCGUACGGUUAGUAUUAAAUGGGACGUAUUUAAUGUAUAUUGUUGUGUGUGUAACGUGGUCAACAUCAACAGGAACUCAUUGGCUUGUCUUUAUGAAUAAUAUUAGUUUGAAUGGGUAAUUACUACAGUUCCCCACGUUUAAGAUGGGUUCAAGUUCUAUGACAAGCAGAAUAAAGAAUAAUAAGGUGGAAAACACUUAGUUUUUUUUGUCCGUCUGCCUAUAUCUGUGUAAUAAAUGAAGCUGUUACCUAGUUAUUACAAAUGCUCAUCACUGUUAACGUGAGGGACUCUGUCUAUGCGCUGCAUUGUGUUUUGCUGUGCACAGGAGAUGAGGAAGAAGACCACUAACUUCUUCCCAGGCAGGAAGACGGUGUCCUUCAGAAAGGGCCCAUCGGGUCAUCUGUGGCAGGAUCCCUCCGAUGAGGCCAUGAGGAUGAAAACCGAUCCCUCGCUUCAGGACAAGUGUCCUGCUCAUCUCCAGCAUCAUGUGAGCACCAAUGCUCUGACCGCGCUCCUUCAGCGGGGAGGAGAUGUGUCCGACCGGCAGGAGGUGAUGGGGGAGUACGGCCUGCAGUUUGGAAAAUACAAGGGGAAAUCAUUCAGAUGGCUCCUCGAAAACGACAUUGGCUACGUUAUCUACCUGAUAAACGGUAGAAGAAGAGGAGAGAGCCGGUAAUUUCAACCCCCAAGGAAACAGCAAGGACAGCCUGCUGUCAUUUCUGGACUAUGCCAGGAGCUUCCAGGAAGUUGAGGACCUGAGGGAGUACCUUUCCUCCAGGAAGCCGGCUUCACCUGUGGCUUCAGAAGGGGACACUGUUGUCGGCUUUGGAGUCAGGGCCAAGGACACCUGGGAGCACAUCUGGAAGAGCAGGGCUGACGGUUAUGCGGCCUUCAUUCUGGGAGUGAAGUGCAUCAAAAACAGCAAGAUGUCCAACCUGCAGCAGCAGAGGGCUGAGUCCGGCCCCCUGCAGCCACAUCCAGAACUCUAGGGCCCCCAGCAGCAGUCUCCAGAGCCCCGGAUGUGUCUUCACCAACAGGUUGUUCUCCACCCGUGUGGAGGGAGGAUUCGGUUUUCACCAGAGUCCUCCCUGCUAUUACUAUUCUUUGAAAUAGUUUGUUAUUGUGGCCGUGUUCUGGCCUGUUCUGAUGUGUUCUUACUCUCCUACUAACUGAAGGAUUUAACAUGUCGCCUAUGAUGGUAAGUGUUUUCCUUUUUUUGCAUGCUUUCUCUAGGCUGUCACUCCAGGAUGUGAACAAAAACCGUUCAUACAUGCCACAUCUUUGAUUGACAGGUUGUGUGCUAUAUAUUGCUAUUGUUUCUCUGCGUUACCUGACAAACAAAAAAGCAACUUAGAAUUAAAGUAAAGGGUAUUUUAAGUCUGAAAAAGCAGCAGGUAAAUAUACACUGAGAAGCAUUAACACACUUUGUGGAAGGAAAAUGACAAAGAGUUGUUGUUCCAGCCCACGGGACCAAGUCACCAGCUGCAGCGACUGUUUCCAGACCUGCUCAGCCAGAUGAGCCCCUUGUGGCUAACGCUUCAGUAAAAGCGAAGACUCUGCUGCCGGUCCCUCCUCAGCUGCUCGCCAUCGCCCCUCAGCUUGGGAAGGAAGAUCAGGACCCCAACGUGUUGAGGCCAAGUGUGUCGUGCUCCUAGCCUCGCAGGGUGUUAUAGAGUGUAUAUUAAUCAUGUAUUGAUAACAUCUGCUGUUAACAAUUAGUUUCUCACAUCUGUUGUUCAAACUUUGUUCCAAAGCACAUGCAAAGCCAGCGUCCCACACUUCUUCUGCAGAGCCGGGGAUACGAAGUGACCACACAUAUAUAUAUAUAUAUCUAGUUCUAGUAAUACUUUUUUAUUCAUUUCAUUUGUUUUACAUUCAUUCUUUGAGAGGAUUUUAAUUUUGUUCAUUUUAGAAUUCAGCUGUGUAUUUUCAAUAAAAUAUAUGAAAAUCAUCCCUUUGACUGUCUUCACUUUAGUGGAAUUAAUACAUGGAAAAAUAAAUAAUAAAAUAUUUAGAUAUGAUCAGCUGUAUACAAUAAACAUGUUGUGCCCUAAUAAAAGUACAUCUGAAGCAUA
Long non-coding RNA from Pseudoliparis swirei, 3096 nucleotides. RefSeq lists it as uncharacterized. The transcript has 5 exons. Lineage: Eukaryota; Metazoa; Chordata; Actinopteri; Perciformes; Liparidae. The record is from RefSeq and is a predicted model, not a curated record.